UACGGGGGGGGCAAGCGUUGUUCGGAAUUACUGGGCGUAAAGGGCUCGUAGGCGGCCAACUAAGUCGGACGUGAAAUCCCCAGGCUCAACCUGGGAACUGCGUCCGAUACUGGAUGGCUUGAAUUCGGGAGAGGGAUGCAGAAUUCCAGGUGUAGCGGUGAAAUGCGUAGAUAUCUGGAGGAAUACCGGUGGCGAAGGCGGCAUCCUGGACCGACAUUGACGCUGAUGAGCGAAAGCCAGGGGAGCAAACAGG
This 253-nucleotide ribosomal RNA is filed under the name uncultured bacterium. RNAcentral's name for it is "partial 16S ribosomal RNA". It matches the Rfam family "Bacterial small subunit ribosomal RNA", at positions 524 to 776 of the family's 1533-position model. The record is from RNAcentral.